This 72-nucleotide transfer RNA is filed under the name Camelus bactrianus (Bactrian camel). It matches the Rfam family "tRNA". Rfam says of the family: Transfer RNA (tRNA) molecules are approximately 80 nucleotides in length. Their secondary structure includes four short double-helical elements and three loops (D, anti-codon, and T loops). RNAcentral also lists the same sequence under 2 other names. The record is from Rfam by way of RNAcentral. Lineage: Eukaryota; Metazoa; Chordata; Mammalia; Artiodactyla; Camelidae.
GAGGACAUAGCUCAGUGGUAGAGCGCUUGCUUAGCAUGUACAAGGUCCUGGGUUCAACCCCCGGUACCUUCA